This 497-nucleotide ribosomal RNA is filed under the name uncultured bacterium. RNAcentral's name for it is "partial 16S ribosomal RNA". It matches the Rfam family "Bacterial small subunit ribosomal RNA", at positions 28 to 507 of the family's 1533-position model. The record is from RNAcentral.
GAUGAACGCUGGCGGCGUGCCUAAUACAUGCAAGUCGAGCGAACAGACGAGGAGCUUGCUCCUCUGACGUUAGCGGCGGACGGGUGAGUAACACGUGGAUAACCUACCUAUAAGACUGGGAUAACUUCGGGAAACCGGAGCUAAUACCGGAUAAUAUAUUGAACCGCAUGGUUCAAUAGUGAAAGACGGUUUUGCUGUCACUUAUAGAUGGAUCCGCGCCGCAUUAGCUAGUUGGUAAGGUAACGGCUUACCAAGGCAACGAUGCGUAGCCGACCUGAGAGGGUGAUCGGCCACACUGGAACUGAGAAACGGUCCAGAAUCCUACGGGAGGCAGCAGUAGGGAAUCUUCCGCAAUGGGCGAAAGCCUGACGGAGCAAAGCCGCGUGAGUGAUGAAGGUCUUCGGAUCGUAAAACUCUGUUAUUAGGGAAGAACAAAUGUGUAAGUAACUAUGCACGUCUUGACGGUACCUAAUCAGAAAGCCACGGCUAACUACGUG